RNAcentral lists this transfer RNA (68 nucleotides) under Theopea aeneipennis. RNAcentral describes it as "tRNA-Ser". The record is from RNAcentral. Lineage: Eukaryota; Metazoa; Arthropoda; Insecta; Coleoptera; Chrysomelidae.
AGUUUAUGAACUUGUGUAUAAGUAUAUAUUUUGAAAAUAUAAAAAAGAGACUAAUUCUCUAUUAACUU